CAUUGGCUGUCGUCAGCUCGUGUCGUGAGAUGUUCGGGUUAAGUCCCGCAACGAGCGCAACCCUUAUCAUUAGUUACCAGCGAGUCAUGUCGGGGACUCUAAUGAGACUGCCCGGGUUAACCGGGAGGAAGUGGGGAUGACGUCAAGUCCUCAUGGCCCUUAUGUCCAGGGCUACACACGUGCUACAAUGGGCGGUACAGAGUGUCGCAAUACCGCGAGGUAGAGCCAAUCACAAAAACCGCUCUCAGUUCGGAUUGGAGUCUGCAACUCGACUCCAUGAAGCUGGAAUCGCUAGUAAUCGCGGAUCAGCACGCCGCGGUGAAUACGUUCCCGGGCCUU
This 339-nucleotide ribosomal RNA is filed under the name uncultured Fibrobacter sp. Its description in RNAcentral is "bacterial SSU rRNA". It matches the Rfam family "Bacterial small subunit ribosomal RNA", at positions 1044 to 1382 of the family's 1533-position model. The record is from RNAcentral. Lineage: Bacteria; Pseudomonadati; Fibrobacterota; Fibrobacteria; Fibrobacterales; Fibrobacteraceae.